Molecule: long non-coding RNA, 902 nt
Organism: Callithrix jacchus (white-tufted-ear marmoset)
Lineage: Eukaryota; Metazoa; Chordata; Mammalia; Primates; Cebidae
Source: RefSeq, a predicted model, not a curated record
CAGCUAACACUUUGUAGAAAGCAGUUUUUUUAAUUCCUGAAAAUAAUGCACACAGGAAAAUCACUAGACUAUCUGAUCAAAAAUUCUUUGUUUUCAUAUUUUGAAAAUUGUAAAUAAAAACGGACAGCGAUUCGGAUAUAUUUCCCCUAACAAACAAAAGAAGGUAAUUCCUAGCUGCUGCUAGGAACAAAACAAAAACUUGGGGCUCUGAAAGCAGCCCCCGACAGGCGCGAAAUUACAGCGUGAAAAAAGGACCUACAAAUAAACUGAGCUCCGCACGCGCCUGGCUCUCGCCUCGGGAGCACGCACCUCCCAGCCCCGCUCUCAGCAGCUCUCACUAUUUAAAGCCGGAUCUGGUGUUUAAAUGGAGAGGCGGUGACGUAGGCCUGAAAAGCACCUACCCAUCCUGGCAGAGUCUAUAUUAGAGAGCGGCAAUGGCUCUAUAUAAACAGGGCAGCCAAAGGGAGGAGGACCACAAAGCUCAGGGACUGAAAAGCAGGGUAAGCGGCCGCAGCCAUGAUGGAUCGACCCGAGUCGCCAACGAGUUUUGCUCUUAUUGCCCAGGCUGGAGUGCAAUGGCAUGAUCUCACCACAACCUCUACCUCCUGGAUUCAAGUGAUUGAUUCUCUUGCCUCGGCCUCCCAAGAAGCUGGGAUUACAGAUUGUGCUAAGUAAAGGGGAUACAUUCUGUAUUGCCCAACAAAUUAAAAUGAAACAUGUUUGCAGCACUCCUGACAGCACUAACCUUGGAGCUGAAAAGAGAAAGAAAAGCAACAGUAGGGAGAAGACUUUCCAGACUGCAGAUCCUCAGUAAUGGAAGCAGGGAUUGACUGCAAUUGAAGAUUACAAGAACGUUUUAUUAGAAUGCAAAAUUAAAUUUGUUAUUUUUAAUUGCACAUUGA